This 431-nucleotide ribosomal RNA is filed under the name uncultured bacterium. RNAcentral's name for it is "partial 16S ribosomal RNA". It matches the Rfam family "Bacterial small subunit ribosomal RNA", at positions 29 to 507 of the family's 1533-position model. The record is from RNAcentral.
AACGAACGCUGGCGGCAGGCUUAACACAUGCAAGUCGAACGCCCCGCAAGGGGAGUGGCAGACGGGUGAGUAACGCGUGGGAACAUACCCUUUUCUACGGAAUAGCUCUGGGAAACUGGAAUUAAUACCGUAUACGCCCUACGGGGGAAAGAUUUAUCGGGGAAGGAUUGGCUCGCGUUGGAUUAGCUAGUUGGUGGGGUAAAGGCCUACCAAGGCGACGAUCCAUAGCUGGUCUGAGAGGAUGAUCAGCCACAUUGGGACUGAGACACGGCCCAAACUCCUACGGGAGGCAGCAGUGGGGAAUAUUGGACAAUGGGCGCAAGCCUGAUCCAGCCAUGCCGCGUGAGUGAUGAAGGCCUUAGGGUUGUAAAGCUCUUUCACCGAUGAAGAUAAUGACGGUAGUCGGAGAAGAAGCCCCGGCUAACUUCGUG